RNAcentral lists this ribosomal RNA (495 nucleotides) under uncultured bacterium. RNAcentral's name for it is "partial 16S ribosomal RNA". It matches the Rfam family "Bacterial small subunit ribosomal RNA", at positions 28 to 507 of the family's 1533-position model. The record is from RNAcentral.
GACGAACGCUGGCGGCGUGCCUAAUACAUGCAAGUAGAACGCUGAAGGAGGAGCUUGCUCUUCUGGAUGAGUUGCGAACGGGUGAGUAACGCGUAGGUAACCUGCCUGGUAGCGGGGGAUAACUAUUGGAAACGAUAGCUAAUACCGCAUAACAGUAGAUGUUGCAUGACAUUUGCUUAAAAGGUGCAAUUGCACCACUACCAGAUGGACCUGCGUUGUAUUAGCUAGUUGGUGGGGUAACGGCUCACCAAGGCGACGAUACAUAGCCGACCUGAGAGGGGGGUCGGCCACACUGGGACUGAGACACGCCCCAGACUCCUACGGGAGGCAGCAGUAGGGAAUCUUCGGCAAUGGACGGAAGUCUGACCGAGCAACGCCGCGUGAGUGAAGAAGGUUUUCGGAUCGUAAAGCUCUGUUGUAAGAGAAGAACGAGUGUGAGAGUGGAAAGUUCACACUGUGACGGUAUCUUACCAGAAAGGGACGGCUAACUACGUG